Quercus lobata is the source of this 2108-nucleotide RNA transcript. It is a transcript of the gene named sequence-specific DNA binding transcription factor, with no coding region annotated. NCBI's taxonomy places the organism in Eukaryota, Viridiplantae, Streptophyta, Magnoliopsida, Fagales, Fagaceae. The transcript is spliced from 2 exons. The record is from RefSeq and is a predicted model, not a curated record.
CAUGUUGAAGAAAAAAAGAAAAGACAUUAGAUUAUAACUAAUAACUAUAAUAAAGUCGUUCCCGUCUAACUCCAUUACGGGAGCUGACGUCACCGCCGGUCACAAAAAAUGCACGGCCAAUCUCCCUUUGAGUCAGAAUCCGAUGCUUCUUCUUCACUCGCUCUCUCUCUCUCUCACCAUUUCUCUCUCUCAAUCCCCAAACCCACUCAAACCUCCGACCCAUCUCCCUAAAUGGAUCGCCCGGGUCCGCGCCACGCCACCCGACCCAGCCCCGGAUCCGGAUCCGGAUCGGGCGGUGGAGGACGCGAGGACUGUUGGAGUGAAGGCGCGACGGAGACACUAAUCGAAGCGUGGGGUGACCGUUACGUCCAACUUAACAGAGGUAACCUCCGUCAGAAAGAUUGGAAGGAAGUCGCCGACGCCGUCAACAACCGUCAAAACGGCGUCAAGCCACGUAAGACUGACAUCCAGUGCAAGAACCGCAUCGACACGUUGAAGAAGAAGUACAAGGUGGAGAAGGCCAAACAGCCGCCGUCAAAGUGGCCGUUUUAUUACCGUCUCCACUCUCUCAUCGGCACCGCUAACGCCGUCAACAAGAAACCCACCACCGUUACUUUCACCGUCAAACCCAAAUCGAACCCUAACCCUACCCCCACCGACAGUGAUGAUGAUGAAGACGAUGAAGAAGACGACGUCGUAGUGAGGAAGAAUAGAGUGGAGAGCGUAGAUUUCUCAGAUGGAGCUGCGUGUAAAGAAUUGGCGAGAGCGAUAUUGAAGUUCGGGGAGAUAUAUGAGAGGAUUGAGAGCUCGAAGCAGCAACAGAUGAUGGAGUUGGAGAAGCAGAGGAUGGAGUUCACUAAGGACCUUGAGUUUCAGAGGAUGAACAUGUUCAUGGAUGCUCAAUUGGAGAUCGAGAAAUCGAAGCGAGCUAAGUACUCGCCGAGCUCAGGUGAUAAUUUUGUAAGAGACUCAGUUUUCGCGUAUUUGUUUAGUGAUUCGUAUUUUUCUUGAUUUAAUUUGUGAGCAAUUUGGACCUUGUUUUUGAAUUAUGAAUAAAAGUGAGAAAUUUGGAUUUGAUUGUAUAGUUUUGUGGGGAUUAUGUGGUGAAAGUUGGGUGGUAUUUGUGGGCAUUAUGAAACUAAUGUACAAAGAAGAGAGAGCAGUGUUGCAGUGUGUGAGAAGGAAUGAUUUGGAUUUUCCUGUACUUCUCAUUGAUUUAAUGUGGGUUUGAUAUUAUGUUCAAACGGUUUAAGUGUUUUUUAGUUUUUUUAUUUUUAAAUAGUAUCAAAUGAUUUUUCCUUAAUUUUUGAUGAGUUUCGUUCGGCCUGGAAAUACGAGAUCUCAAUUCUUAUUUUAUCAGUUUACUUAAACGAGAAUGUGGGAUGAUCGAAGUUUUGGAUUUAUGUGUUUGAUGGUGUUUAAUCUCAUUGAGGCCAUUGGUGAAGCCACUAAGAGAGAACCCAAUGUUGGUCCAAUAUCCAGGUUUGGCCUGGAAGACAGUUGAACAGCUCAAAUUCAACAUGCACUGUCAAAACCUAAUGUAAUUGUAGCCCUGAGGUAGGGUUUUGUUGGGUUGCGGGCAAUUUGCCGGGGCUCAGGUUGGCGGUAAAAUCCCAAUUUUCCUGAAUUGUGUCUCUAGUAAUUUGAAGCUGUGAUGACUGUAAAACUUUUGAGACAUGAUAGGAAUUUUAAGCCAGAGAGGACAUGAUCACAUGAAGCUGGGGCUUAUGUUGAUUUGAUAGGAAUUUGGUUGGAAUGACUUUCAAGUCAGAGAGGGCAUGAUCAGAAUUUGAUGGGAUUGAAUCACCCAGGGAAGAAGUUAUAAGCUGAGAUUGCACGAAUGCUUUUCGUUCUUCAAGUGGGGAAGUACAGCCUCUUGAUCUCUUUUGAAACAUGCUUUCGAACUCUUCUGUUUAAAAGACAUGUUGUCCAUGAAAGCUUUUGAACAUGAUGUGGCAGUGUUGUAUAAUUGUUGUAACAUUCAGUGUACAUGAUUAGUUAUUUUGCCACAUAUCAUAUCCUGUACUUGUGUUUUGUAAUUACCGUGUGAUUAAUGCUACUUUCUUUAUUCAUAGAUCUCAAAGUUUCUGUUAUGAAGUGCGGAGGAA